RNAcentral lists this long non-coding RNA (3440 nucleotides) under Theobroma cacao (cacao). Its description in RNAcentral is "long non-coding RNA (TCAC_LNC004187)". The record is from RNAcentral. Lineage: Eukaryota; Viridiplantae; Streptophyta; Magnoliopsida; Malvales; Malvaceae.
AAUUUUGGCCAGCACAGAAGAGAGCGUUCCUUGUUUGAAACUAUUUCAUCACCAUUUUCUGCUUCCAUGAUUAAAUGUUUCAAAGAGUUGCUUUCCAUUACCUUGAGUUCUUCCAGAUGCACCAAAGCUUGAGCAAGGGUAGGUGAAAAGAGAUAUUCCAAUUUAGAACACAAACCAAUUCUCAUAGUUUUAAGGCUCUGGAGGUUAACAAGACGAGUGGGUUCUCUCCAUAUGCACUUCAAUUCUGGUAAAGACUCCAACUCCAAACAAAUUAAAUUUGAGAGUGGCGGUGCCUGAUUUUCCUGGCAUAAAAAAUUUAUUAAUUAAUAAUUAUUUAAAUCUGAAUUAAUUGUACUUGUUCAGAAAAGUAUUUAAAUAUUAACGACAUAUAUUUUUAAAAAAUUUAAAAGAAAGUGUAAAAAGCCAUAAUUUACGAAGAUUAGAACACAUGAUUACUUAUAUAUUUGAUAAUUUAACAAAAAGAAAACAUAAUUAGAUAAAGAACAGAUGCUAGAAUUAUUAAAGGAAAAAUGGAGAGAUAAGAGGUACCUCCAGCUCAGCCAUAUCUUGGGCAGAAGCAAAGACUUGCUCUAAUUUCUUGCAUGCAGAUAUCUUGAGUUGUUCAAGAUGCAACAAACUUUGAGCAAGGUAAGUUGAGAAGAUAGAUUUCAGUUUAUCACAACCAUCAACUUUUACAUCUUUCAGACUUUGUAGGCUCACAUAAUGAGUUGGCUCUUUCCAUAUACUCUCCAAUGCCGGUAAUGACUGCAGCUCCAAGCUUCUUAAAUUUAAGAUUGACAGCAUCUGACCAUUCAUUUGAAACACUGAUUGCAGCUGUCCACAAUCGCAAAUGAUCAAUGUUUCUAAGUUUUGUAAGAAGCUAUUCGGUGAUUCACCAUGGCAUAACUCUUUCAAAGAAGUCAUUUUACCAAUGUCUAAGUUCACCAAAUUAGAGAAUGCAGUGGUUGGACUCUGUUCUCGUGUUGUAUCAAUCAAGCAUUCCAGAUCGUCACAAUAUGCAACCUCAAGAGAAGUCAAUUCAUUUAGUCCCCACUGAUCGUCACAAAAGCUCCUCAAGUUUUCUAAGUCUUCAAGUCUUAAAAACUGUAAUUUAGGUAGCAUAAUAUCGUGCUUAUCCUCUUCUUUUGCCAUGUUGAAGACAUGCAUUAGUUGAGGGCAAUCAAUUAUCUGAACUGAUUCCAAGUACGGAAGUCCAUGAGCCAAAGUGAUGGGAAACACAUAUCUCAAACUUUUGCAACGAACUAUCUCAAGAGAUUUUAAUUUUGGCCAGCACAGAAGAGAGCGAUCCUUGUUUGAAACUAUUUCAUCACCAUUUUCUGCUUUGAUGAUUAAAUGCUCCAAACAGUUGCUUUCCUUUAUCUUGAGUUCUUCCAGAUGCACCAAAGCUUGAGCAAGGGUAGGUGAAAAGAGAUACUCCAGUUUAGAACACGAGCAAAUUCUCAUAGUUUUAAGAUUUUGGAGGUUAACAAGAUGAGUGGGUUCUCUCCAUAUGCACCUCAAUUCUGGUAAGGACUCCAGCUCCAAACAAAAUAAAUUUGAGAGUGGUGGUGCCUGAUUUUCCUCAUAUAAAAAAAUAUUAUAAAUUAAUAAUUAUUUAAAUAUGAAUUCAUUGUACUUGUUCAAAGAAGUACUUAAAUAUUAGAGACAUACAUUUUUAAAAAAAUUAAAAGGAAGUGUAAAAAGCCAUAAUUUACAAAGAUUACAACUGAUGAUUACUUAUUUAUUUGAUAAUUUAACAAAAAAAAAACAUAAUUAGAUAAAGAACAAAUAAAAGAAUUAUUAAAGGAAAGAUGGAGAGAUAAGAGGUACCGCGAACUCGGCCAUAUCUUGGGCAAAAGCAAAUACUUGCUCUAAUUUCUUGCAUGCAGAUAUCUUGAGUUGUUCUAAAUGCAACAAACUUUGAGUAAGGCAAGGUGAGAAGAUAGAUUUCAGCUUAUCACAACCAUCAACUUUUACAUCCUUCAGACUUUGUAGGCUUAUAAGAUGAGUUGGCUCUUUCCAUAUAUUCUCCAAUGCUGGUAAUGAGUUUAGCUCCAUAAGUGUUAAAUUUGACAACAGCAAUCCUUGAUUUUCUUUCGUAUCAUGAAGAAACUCAUCUAUUUGAAAUACUUCUUGCAACUGGCCACAAUUAAUAACUUUCACUUCUUUUAGAUUUUGCAGCGCAGGAGAUAAAGAGACCAUUUCCAUGCAAUUCCUUGUUGUCAACUUCUCUAGUUUUUGUAGAAAGCCCUUUGGAAACUGACCGUUGCACAACAUUUUCAAACCAGUCAUUUCUUCUAUUACUAAUUCCACCAAAUUGAAGAAUGCAUUAGUUGAGACAUGGCCUAGGGUUGUAUCAAUCAAGCAUUCGAGCUCCUUGCCACCUUUAAGUGCAAGAAAAUUUAAGUCAAUAAGUCCCUUUGGAUCUACAUUUGGAACGAGACUUUUUUGAUACAUGACUCUAUUCAAGGUAAGAUUUUUGACAUUGUGUAAUAACUCCUUCAAUGCUUGCAAUUGAACGUCCUGAUAAAUUCACAACAAAAUGAAAGAUAUUAGAAAAAUAGAAAGGUAGAUAAUACUCCUUAAAUCAGAAUUGAAUUUUUUUCUAUGCAUCAAAUUUAAAAAUUGAGGCAAAAGAAAACUGUUUUAUCUUUUCAUUGAAAGCUCAUUAAAGUUGAAAAACAUACCAAAGCUUGGAAUAUUCUUAUCUGUAGAUAUUGAUUUACUAAAAGAAAGAUGUUUUUCUAUGAUCAGAUAAAUAAUCAAUUAAUAAUUAUCAAAAGUAAAAUUGAAACAAACGAAAAUAUAACAGAACUACCUUCAAUAGAGACCACGAGCAAAGACUUUCGUGAAUAUGGAAAUGAGCCAUUGAUUCGGGUGGGAGACCAAUAUUGCAAGCUUGGAAUUCCUUCAAAGAUGGCAACAUGACAAAAUAGUUUCUUGGACAAAAGCUCCUCAAGUUUUGUAAGUAUUCAAGUCUUAAAAACUGUAACCGAGGGAGCAGAAUAUCGUGCCCAUCCUCUUCUUUUGCCAUGUUGAAGACAUGCAUUAGUUGAGGGCAAUCAAUUAUCUGAACUGAUUCCAAGUGACGGAAGUCCAUGAGCCAAAGUGAUGGGAAACACAUAUCUCAAACUUUUGCAACUAGCUAUCUCAAAAGAUUUUAAUUUUGGCCAGCACAGGAGAGAGCGAUCCUUGUUUGAAACUAUUUCAUCACCAUUUUCUGCUUCCAUGAUUAAAUGUUUCAAGGAGUUGCUUUCCUUUAUCUCGAGUUCUUCCAGAUGCACCAAAGCUUGAGCAAGGGUAGGUGAAAAGAGAUAUUCCAAUUUAGAACAUGAACCAAUUCUCAUAGUUUUAAGGCUCUUGAGCUUAACAAGAUGGGUGGGUUCUCUCCAAAUGCAGCUCAAUUCUGGUAAAGACUCCAACUCCAAACAAAUUAAAUU